GUGACAGGGUUAGUGAAGGUCGUGGGUAGUAUUAUGGUGAGACAAAAAACAGUUUUAUUGUUGUUUAUAAUUAUAUUUACACGACGAGACUCAUGGAAGAUGUUUAUUCUAUAAGGACGAUACUAUAAAUUGAAAAUUUGUAUAAAAACAAUCGUUACAUCACGUUUACCGAGCAAAGGUUAGUUUGUAAUAGAUCACGCCGUUCGAAAUAUUCGAGUACACCCAAACCCGGAAGUCAACAAUCGUUUGUUUACAUUAUUAUUAUACCAGUGUCAACAUUGAUGCCAAUUUGUUACUAAUAUCAGUAUUUCUAUUGAACUUAUUGUUUCCGAACUUUAUUUAUCAACAUGACUAGAAACAAGUUAAAUACAAAUGCAAAGCGUAAACUGAAAGAUUUGUCAAAUAAUACAGACCCAGAAUUUGAUUCUCCAACACAACAACCUUAUAAAAAGGGAUCGAAAAAACUUUCGAAAAACAACACCAGUGUUCAUUCUAUUCACGAGGGCUUGUCGUCCGAUAAGACACCUGAUAAUCAGAAGCAUGCCUAUAAUACGCAAACCAGUACACCGCUUCAGUACCCGUACCCGCUCCCUUUUCCUGGCC
This 603-nucleotide long non-coding RNA is filed under the name Mytilus galloprovincialis (Mediterranean mussel). The record is from RNAcentral. Lineage: Eukaryota; Metazoa; Mollusca; Bivalvia; Mytilida; Mytilidae.